RNAcentral lists this ribosomal RNA (253 nucleotides) under uncultured prokaryote. RNAcentral's name for it is "partial 16S ribosomal RNA". It matches the Rfam family "Bacterial small subunit ribosomal RNA", at positions 524 to 776 of the family's 1533-position model. The record is from RNAcentral.
UACAGAGGGUGCGAGCGUUGUUCGGAAUUAUUGGGCGUAAAGGGCGCGUAGGCGGUCGGGUAAGUCACCUGUGAAAUCUCCUGGCUCAACUGGGAGUCUGCAGGCGAAACUGCUUGACUGGAGUGUGGGAGAGGUGCGUGGAAUUCCCGGUGUAGCGGUGAAAUGCGUAGAUAUCAGGAGGAACACCGGUGGUGUAGACGGCUCUCUGGACCGUAACUGACGCUGAGACACGAAAGCGUGGGUAGCAAACAGG